GUGAACCGCAAGGAAAUAGCCGAGAGCUACUACCUCCUCCGCCGGGCAACCAUGCACCGGUAUUGGUCCAAGUUCUCCAAGGAACAAGCAGAACCAGAGUGGCAGGGCUCCGCCUUCGACCUGGAGUGCAGAUACGACUGCGAAGCCAACGCCUUGUAUAUACCGAUGGGAUUGUUCAGUGAGCCUAUUCUGCAUUCGGACGUGUCU
This is a long non-coding RNA of Dermacentor silvarum, 207 nucleotides long. RefSeq lists it as uncharacterized. The record is from RefSeq and is a predicted model, not a curated record. Lineage: Eukaryota; Metazoa; Arthropoda; Arachnida; Ixodida; Ixodidae. The transcript has 3 exons.